Molecule: long non-coding RNA, 748 nt
Organism: Leopardus geoffroyi (Geoffroy's cat)
Lineage: Eukaryota; Metazoa; Chordata; Mammalia; Carnivora; Felidae
Exons: 5
Source: RefSeq, a predicted model, not a curated record
CCCGCGGCGACGCUCCGCCGGGCCGGGCGGCGGCUCCGAGGGGCGGAGACCCCAGCGACGUGGAGGAAACCCGGCCCGGAUCUGGAGUGGACUCGGGGCGGCCUUGGGGAGAAAGAAAGGCGGAGGAGGCAGAGAGAAGUUGGCUGUGUACAGUUCAGGAAGAAAGCUCUCGCCAGAAAACGAAUCUGCCAGCACCCGGAUCAUCACGGACUUCUAGCCUCAGAACCAUGAGAAAUGAAUGGGAAGCCAGCUUCCUUGUCUUGAGAGAGUCCGCCCUGUGGAGAAGCCCAUUCAACAAAGACCUGAGGCCUCAAUCGAACCACCGGGAACUGAGUCCUGUCACCAACCAUAGGAUGAAGGACAAGGUCCCGCCAGCAGGAGGGGAAAGCGAGAGCAAAGCCCGAGGCAAGCAACAGCCGGCUUCACAAGAACAAGCAGUUCUGGGUUGCACGCAUCCAUCCGGUUCUUUGCAGACAUAAUCCUAUCAAGCUGAAGUCACCCUAAUCAAGUAUGACCGGUGUUCUAUAAGGAGAGGGAACUUUGGACACGACACAGAGGGGAAGGCCGUGUGACAACAGAGACAGAGACUGGGUGAUGUCGCAGCAGCCGAGGUUGAUGACACCACCAGGGGCUGGAAGACGGGAAGGAGGGUUUCUCCUCUACUGGUUUCAGAGGGAGCAGACCCUGCUGACACCUUGAUUUUGGCCUCUGAACAGUGAGACAAUAAACUUGUUGUUUUAAAUCACCA